RNAcentral lists this ribosomal RNA (919 nucleotides) under uncultured bacterium. RNAcentral's name for it is "bacterial SSU rRNA". It matches the Rfam family "Bacterial small subunit ribosomal RNA", at positions 586 to 1504 of the family's 1533-position model. The record is from RNAcentral.
AGUCUGGAGUGGAAGUCCAUCUUUCAAGGGUGGAAUUGCUUUGGAAACCGUGUGGCUGGAGUGCAGGAGAGGUUAUCGGAAUUCCCGGUGUAGCGGUGAAAUGCGUAGAGAUCGGGAGGAACAUCAGUGGCGAAGGCGGGUAACUGGACUGCAACUGACGCUGAGGCGCGAAAGUGUGGGGAGCAAACAGGAUUAGAUACCCUGGUAGUCCACACCGUAAACGAUGAAUGCUAGGUGUAGGUGGUAUCGACCCCAUCUGUGCCGUAGUAAACACAAUAAGCAUUCCGCCUGGGGAGUACGGUCGCAAGAUUAAAACUCAAAGGAAUUGACGGGGGCCCGCACAAGCAGCGGAGCAUGUGGUUUAAUUCGAAGCAACGCGAAGAACCUUACCAGGUCUUGACAUCCGGUAAAGCCUGUAGAGAUACAGAUUCCCUUCGGGGGUACUGAGACAGGUGGUGCAUGGUUGUCGUCAGCUCGUGUCGUGAGAUGUUGGGUUAAGUCCCGCAACGAGCGCAACCCUUGUUGAUAGUUACUAACGCGUGAAGGUGAGGACUCUAUCAAGACCGCCGGGGACAACUCGGAGGAAGGUGGGGACGACGUCAAAUCAUCAUGCCCCUUAUGACCUGGGCUACACACGUGCUACAAUGGCCGACACAGAGAGGAGCGAACCCGCAAGGGGGAGCAGAUCUCAAAAAAGCGGUCUCAGUUCAGAUUGUGGGCUGCAACCCGCCCACAUGAAGGAGGAGUUGCUAGUAAUCGCGAAUCAGCAUGUCGCGGUGAAUACGUUCCCGGGCCUUGUACACACCGCCCGUCACACCAUGGGAGUUGGUAGCACCCGAAGGCAGAGAGGUAACCGCAAGGAGCCAUCUGACGAAGGUGAGAUCAAUGACUGGGGUGAAGUCGUAACAAGGUAGCCGUA